This 63-nucleotide transfer RNA is filed under the name Gatesona chaetophora. Its description in RNAcentral is "tRNA-Leu". The record is from RNAcentral. Lineage: Eukaryota; Metazoa; Annelida; Clitellata; Crassiclitellata; Lumbricidae.
AAGUAAGUUGGCAGAAUAGUGCCACCGACUUAGGAUCGGUUCAUGGGUAAAUCCACUUACUAU